ACAAGGUCUCCGUUGGUGAACCAGCGGAGGGAUCAUUACCGAGUUUACAACUCCCAAACCCAAUGUGAACCAUACCAAACUGUUGCCUCGGCGGGGUCACGCCCCGGGUGCGUCGCAGCCCCGGAACCAGGCGCCCGCCGGAGGGACCAACCAAACUCUUUCUGUAGUCCCCUCGCGGACGUUAUUUCUUACAGCUCUGAGCAAAAAUUCAAAAUGAAUCAAAACUUUCAACAACGGAUCUCUUGGUUCUGGCAUCGAUGAAGAACGCAGCGAAAUGCGAUAAGUAAUGUGAAUUGCAGAAUUCAGUGAAUCAUCGAAUCUUUGAACGCACAUUGCGCCCGCCAGUAUUCUGGCGGGCAUGCCUGUCCGAGCGUCAUUUCAACCCUCGAACCCCUCCGGGGGGUCGGCGUUGGGGAUCGGGAACCCCUAAGACGGGAUCCCGGCCCCGAAAUACAGUGGCGGUCUCGCCGCAGCCUCUCCUGCGCAGUAGUUUGCACAACUCGCACCGGGAGCGCGGCGCGUCCACGUCCGUAAAACACCCAACUUUCUGAAAUGUUGACCUCGGAUCAGGUAGGAAUACCCGCUGAACUUAAGCAUAUCAAUAAGCGGAGGAA
This 614-nucleotide ribosomal RNA is filed under the name Trichoderma ovalisporum. RNAcentral's name for it is "eukaryotic LSU rRNA". The stretch from base 223 to 376 matches the Rfam family "5.8S ribosomal RNA". The record is from RNAcentral. Lineage: Eukaryota; Fungi; Ascomycota; Sordariomycetes; Hypocreales; Hypocreaceae.